CGUGCAUCCGUGGGGUCCCUCAGCCCGGCCUGUGCCCUCUCACAAUCGAGGACACAUCAGGGGAUGUCGGAAAGCCAGUUUUGGCCCGAUCCCACAGGCCAGGCUGAGGGACCCCACGGGUGCACG
Molecule: non-coding RNA, 126 nt
Organism: Myotis brandtii (Brandt's bat)
Lineage: Eukaryota; Metazoa; Chordata; Mammalia; Chiroptera; Vespertilionidae
Source: Rfam